GACGUAGGGCGCGAGGCGUUGUCCGGAUUUAUUGGGCGUAAAGAGCUCGUAGGCGGCUUGUCGCGUCGACUGUGAAAUCCCGCGGGCUCCAACUGCGGGUCUGCAGUCGAUACGGGCAGGCUAGAGUUCGGUAGGGGAGACUGGAAUUCCUGGUGUAGCGGUGAAAUGCGCAGAUAUCAGGAGGAACACCGAUGGCGAAGGCAGGUCUCUGGGCCGAUACUGACGCUGAGGAGCGAAAGCGUGGGGAGCGAACAGG
RNAcentral lists this ribosomal RNA (256 nucleotides) under uncultured bacterium. RNAcentral describes it as "partial 16S ribosomal RNA". It matches the Rfam family "Bacterial small subunit ribosomal RNA", at positions 524 to 776 of the family's 1533-position model. The record is from RNAcentral.